CAUAUCAGAGGAGUGGCUCCCCACACUGGGUGUCUUCUUGUGCCUGCUGAACUGGAAGCUGAUUUCUGAAGCUGUGUCUGAUUCUGUCUGCAAAUCAAGCCAAGAAAAAGAGGUGCUGGAACUCACCAUGAAUGCCUCCCCCGUUCUCUUGGAACAGACAUGGCACCUACCUGAAAGUCACCAGAACUCGGUUCCAAUCUACAGCUGCCUGUCAAUGCCAAUCCCACUUCCAUUGGACACACUACCUUCUCUGCAGAGGAUGGAAGAGUAGACAACCUCAGUCUUGGCUUUGGUUUGGAUCUGUGUCCUUCUGCUGAAUCCAAAGAAGCUUCACGUGAUCUGCAGAGAAAGAACAACAUUUUAUCACAAAGACACAAAUCCUGAGAUGAUGAUGAUGUAUUGGAUAAUCUCAUUGGAUCAUGUAUUGGUUACAACAGUAUGAAAAUUGUUAUGUACUGAGUUGAAUAGGAUCCAAACUGCAGCAGUCUG
Molecule: non-coding RNA, 489 nt
Organism: Podarcis muralis (Common wall lizard)
Lineage: Eukaryota; Metazoa; Chordata; Lepidosauria; Squamata; Lacertidae
Source: RefSeq, a predicted model, not a curated record